RNAcentral lists this transfer RNA (112 nucleotides) under Diaporthe ampelina. It matches the Rfam family "tRNA". Rfam says of the family: Transfer RNA (tRNA) molecules are approximately 80 nucleotides in length. Their secondary structure includes four short double-helical elements and three loops (D, anti-codon, and T loops). Further hydrogen bonds mediate the characteristic L-shaped molecular structure. tRNAs have two regions of fundamental functional importance: the anti-codon, which is responsible for specific mRNA codon recognition, and the 3' end, to which the tRNAs corresponding amino acid is attached (by aminoacyl-tRNA synthetases). tRNAs cope with the degeneracy of the genetic code in two manners: having more than one tRNA (with a specific anti-codon) for a particular amino acid; and 'wobble' base-pairing, i.e. permitting non-standard base-pairing at the 3rd anti-codon position. The record is from Rfam by way of RNAcentral. Lineage: Eukaryota; Fungi; Ascomycota; Sordariomycetes; Diaporthales; Diaporthaceae.
GUCUUCGUGGCUCAGUUGGUUAGAGCGUUGGUCUCAUAUUUUCGUAUGACUCGGUGGUGUACCAUUGAGAUAUCCAAUCCAAAGGUCGUGAGUUCGAGUCUCACCGAGGACA